This is a long non-coding RNA of Mirounga angustirostris (Northern elephant seal), 5080 nucleotides long. RefSeq lists it as uncharacterized. The transcript is spliced from 8 exons. NCBI's taxonomy places the organism in Eukaryota, Metazoa, Chordata, Mammalia, Carnivora, Phocidae. The record is from RefSeq and is a predicted model, not a curated record.
GAACCCUGAACAUUCUCAAUCAGCAGCCAGGUGAAUCUGAAGCAGGCGGUCCAACAGCUUCCUGGGGCACAGAAGCCUAACAAGCUCCCAAAAGAGCACCUACUUCAGCCACCCCGGCGCGUUACGGACGGGGAGAGUCAAGGCUACGGGGAACUUCGCGAGCCUCGAGGAGGGACUCUGGGCCGGGCCCGGAUCCCCCCGAACCGUGCGUCCAACUAGGCGACGCCUGGUCCCGGAGGAAAGAGACACAGCGAGAGAGGGAACACAAGCAGGGGGAGUGGGAGAGGAAGAAGCAGGCUUCCAGCCAAGCAGGGAGCCCGAUGCGGGGCUCGAUCCCAGGACCCGGGGAUCACGACCUGAGCCGAAGGCAGACGCUUAACCGACUGAGCCACCCAGGCACCCCUAUAUGGUUGGCAUUUAAAGCCACAAGACAAGAUGCGUAUCAGGUGGGAGUGAGCGUGGACAAAGAAGAGAAGGAGACCAAGGUGACAGCACAAGGACGCUCCAGGAAGAAGUAGGGAACAAUGAGCAAAGAAGACUGAGAGGAAAUGAUCACCACAUGAGACAGAAACCCAAGAGGGUAUGCCCAAAUGAAGAAAGAGGCUUCAAAGUCAAGCAGGAAGAGGUAACCAACUGUGUCAACUGAUGCUGAUGGGUCCGGUAAAAGACUGAAAACUGACCAUUGGAUUACCAGUGCGAGUAUCUGUGUGGCUGUGGAAAGAACACUUUUGAUGGGGGGAGGAGGAGUUGAAAUCUCGACUGAAAUGGAUUGAAGGAGAGAAAAUGGAGGCAUAGUGUACAUUUUAAAAGAGAUUUGCUAUAAAAGAAAGCAAGGGCAUAGAGCACUAGCUGCUGGGGAUAAGGGUCUAGAGAAGAGAGAAGGUUGAUUAAAUAAAGGUGGGAGAGACAUUGUCAGGUGUGUCUGAUGAUGGCACUGGUCUAGGAUGGAGGGAGAACUGGCGGGAGAGAGAAGUAGAGCAAUGCUUUAGGGCAGGUGAGGGGGAGGAGCUCCAGAACACAAGAGGAAGAUUCUGCCUUGGACAGGAUCAUGGGAAGUCCACCCAUGGUCACCCCCUAGAGGGAGAUACAGACAGGUGCAAGGAGGUGGGGAUUCUUAUCUGAUUACUUCGAUUUACUCAACACAGAAAGCAAGCUUAGCCAUUGAAGAUGAGCUUAGAAGAGGUGAUGACAAAGAUUUGCUGAGAGAGGAGUUUCACAAUAGUGCUCUAGGAGUGUGGAGGAGUGAUUAAAGCAGGGAAGUAUAAGAUAAUUGCUGAGUGGUGUGAAGGGCUCUCUUGAGUUCUUGGUCAUAGAUUUAAAUUAGACAUGAGUCAGUGGUUGGAUGUUUUCUUCCAGGCAUGCCCAGCUGCACGAAGGCAAGUGUGAGUAGGUGAGGGCUUGAUUUUAACCAGGCUGUAGUUUUUCUAGCGAGGAAGGUGAAGUGAGGGAGUAUCAAGGGGAUGGAGGGGACUGCAGGCCUAUGCUAACUGACUGUAGUGUUGAAGCUGGUUAGGAGGACAGAAUAUUAAGGGCUAAAAGUCAAUGGGAGGGUCAGUGGAGUGGACACUGUGGAGUGGGGGGCGGGGGGAUUAAACCAGUGAGUAGAAGUUAGCAGGUGGUGGUCAGAGGGUGGGAGGCAUGAAAUAACCAGAGUUGCCAUCACGGGUGAUGAUGAGGCUGCGGCUGAGCUCCCUGGAUUGAGUAAUGGAGUUGGGAUGGGAUCACUGGAGGAGAGAAUUUCAAGGAACUGAGAAGCCAGUAUGUUGGGAGGAUCAUCUAGAUACCCCCUGAAAGUGCUAAGGGUUAAGUUCUCUUAUCCUGUAGCCACAUCACUUAGCACCAUUCACCUCCCAACAAAUGUUCUAGACAUAAUCUUAUCUUAUUUGCCUGCCUAUCUAGGUAUGUGAUACAUGUUUGUGGGGUUGAAAGGACUGCGUGGUGGUUGGUUUUACCAGUGUCUGCCUUUUCUGGCUCUGCUCAUGUGUGAUCACUGAGGUUCUCCAGCAUGGGAUCCCAUUCUGCUUGUUGCAGCCGAUUCCUCACCACCUCUUCUCUCUGGGUUCCAACCAGUAGCAAAGAGAUGAGGAGCUGAACAAUGAUCUCACCAUUAACCUUAAUCAUACAGGACAAGGAACUCCGUGGCCAAGGAUUAGAGAUUGUGACUUUGUGUGCCAACUUGACCUGGCCAGUGAGGGUCCACAUAGUUGGUUAAGCACUAUUCUGAGUUGUGUUUGAGGGUAUUUCUAGAUGAGAAUAGCAUUUAAAUCUGUGGACUGAGUAAACCAAAAGCCUGAAUAGAACAAGAAGAAUUCUUUUUGCCUGACUGUCUUUGAGCCGAGAAAUUGUUUUUUUUCCCUGCUUUUGGAUUUGGACUCAGAUUGGAAUUUAUACCAUUGACUUUCCUGGUCCUCAUGCCUUCAGACUCAGACUGGCACUGUAUAAUUGGCAUCCUGCAUUUCCACUUGCUGACUGCAGAACAUGGGACUUCUCAGCCUCUAUAAUCGUGUGAAUCAAUUCCUCCAAAUAAAUCUCUCUCUUUCUCUGUCCCCUACCUCCUUCCAGAUCUAAAUGUGAGGACCUGCCUCUGGAUUGGAUCUGUAUUCUUAUUCAUCCAGGUGUAUGGAGAAUUGUUGAUUUUGUCUCACAACCCAUUUUCAGGAGAAUGAACAACAAAGAAGAUGAAAGAAAAAGUUAGAAAAUAGGUAGCUCUUUCUGAUCUCACAAUCUCCUGUGGGUACAAGGAGAGAGAUUGACCAGAUCAGAUGUAUUCUUUCCAACACUUCUGGAGCUGGGAUAGAAGCGGAAGUCUCCUUGUCAGCCUAUGGGAAAGUAGAAAAGUAGGCUGAGAGGUAGUCAAUGUCUUCCUGUCUAAGGAUGGAAGACAUUGACUACCUCCCUCUCUAUGUUCAGAUGGGGUAUGGAUUGUUUUUGAUGCCCUACCUGGUGCCUAUCCCAUCUAUCAUGCAUGCUCACUAUAUUAUUACAGCACUCCUUUCCGCAACCAACCACAAACACGUUUCUAUCCCAGAGCUCUGACUCCAUGAUAGAUAUAGUCCAAGGGGACAAGGCUGUCAUGGACCAAUGCACACAGGACAAUGGAGAGAGGUCCACUUUGCCAGCACAGGGCCAAGUGAUAGAACACAUGCAACAUUUUACCACUUCAAAGAUGGUUACCUGUAUGUUGUCUCACUUGAUCCCUAUGCGAAUGCUGUAAGAAAAUGACGUGUAUUAUCCUGUUUGUCAAAAUUCAUGAUUAUAAUUAUCAAAAGGUAAAAGAAGGAAGGCAGAAAAGGAAAGAAUGUUGGGAUCCAAAAUUCCUACACAAAAUGAUGAUGGUAAGGCAAGUUUUUUUUUUUUAAGAUUUUAUUUAUUUAUUUGUCAGAGAGAGAGAGCACAAGCAGGGGGAUGGCAGGUAGAGGGAGAGGGAGAAGCAGACUCCCCGCUGAGCAGGGAACCCAAUGUGGGACUCGAUCCCAGGACCCUGGGAUCAUGACCUGAGCUGAAGACAGACACCUCACUGACUGAGCCACCCAGGUGCUCUGUAAGACCAAUUGUUGAAAAUGGUCAUGCCACAAGAUGAAUGAAGCCUGCAUACAUAAAUGACUGUGUGGAGUGGGGCUUCCUGUCUACCAUAUUGGACUAGAAGAAUCGUGUGGAUUGUUACAUUUCUCCCCUUCCCAGCAAAAGAUGGUUGGCGAUAAACUCUCUGGAGAACUUGAACUCAUGAUCCCGAGAUCAAGACCUGAGCUGAGACCAAGAGUCGGACGCUCAACCAACUGAGCCAUCCAGGCAUUACUUCUGAUCUUUUAAAGGUGGUGCAUAAAGUCUUGCGCAAAACCUGGCAUAUGGUAGUUACUCAAUGCAAAGGCUUAAAACAAAAACACAAACACAAACAGAAAGCAAAAAGCCUCCUGUAGUCACCGCCUCUUCUGUCAACCGACAACACUCAUUUCAUCCCCUGGGGGCCUGAAGUCUCCUUUGCCGCCUGGAGCUCAGGGAAAUUCCCCAGAUGCAAGUCAAGUGGGAUUAUGACGCCUGGAGCCGCUGUAGCACUUCCGACCUUGACAAUAAAAGUCAACAGGCUGAGAACAGAGGCAAGAGGUGCAUGAAGAUCCAGAGAUGCUUUGUUUGCUCAGUGUUGGCAUUUGGGCCAGUCCCGGGUCUGCAAGCUGCCUGUACAGAAAACAGGACGAAAUCACAGCAGCCUUGAUGCCCAGUACCCGCCACCCCUCCCCCCACCUGCAAACAAGUUAGCUUCAAAUGGAUUAGAUGACCCUUUGUGACAAGGAGUUAGCCUUUGGUGAGGCUUCCGUUUUCUGACCUGCAAAAGGGAGGUGAUGAUAGAACCACAUAAAGGGUUGUUGUGAGGACAGAAUAGCAUAUACAUAUCGAGAACAAGCAUAGCGCCUAGUACAUAGUAAGUGCUCAAAAUGGUAGGUGGCUAUUUUUAUUUUUGUUGUAUCAUUACCUGUAAACUCAAGUUUCUUGAAUGACUUUGAUAUUCUUAAAGAUUACCUCAUGCUGAUGCAAAUCAGGAGUUUUCAUGGGCAUUGCAUUAGGGGAUUGAAUGAGAUAUUCUCCAAAGCAGAUCUCCCCCCUUCCCCCACCUCACCCCCAUCCAGUCACAAACUAUUUGUAGUGAUCCAUUAGCAUCUUGAGAAAGUAAUUCAUUGGGAAGCGAAAAAGAAUAGGAUAGCUUAAAAUAGGCAAUAUUAGAAUGCAUCACAUGAAGUAAGGAUAGAAAUUAUUUCGUAAAAGUUUUAUUUGUUACAUUUACUUGUAUAUGUGUAUAUUGAGUUGCGAUUGUAAAAUGUAUUUCUGAUUGUGGACUGCAUUAAAAAACUUUUUUAAAGAAGACUGCCCUAAGGUGCCCUGCACCUCCAGAUUCUAUGGUUGUUCUCAGAUGCUCUGGCUCCUUCCAGCACCGUGCUUUCGAGUUACAUAACACCGUCACCCUGCUGACUCAUGGUCGGGAAACAGUUCCCUGGCCCACACCGAGAUUUCUCUCCAUCACUGUUCAUUCUUUUCUCUUUCAGUUCUGCUUUGUUUUAAACAGGGGCUAAGGAAGAUGAACAUCUUC